AGUGAACGCUGGCGGUAGGCCUAACACGUGCAAGUCGAACGGCAGCACAGUAAGAGCUUGCUCUUACGGGUGGCGAGUGGCGGACGGGUGAGGAAUACAUCGGAAUCUACUUUUUCGUGGGGGAUAACGUAGGGAAACUUACGCUAAUACCGCAUACGACCUACGGGUGAAAGCAGGGGAUCUUCGGACCUUGCGCGAUUGAAUGAGCCGAUGUCGGAUUAGCUAGUUGGCGGGGUAAAGGCCCACCAAGGCGACGAUCCGUAGCUGGUCUGAGAGGAUGAUCAGCCACCGUGGAACUAGGACACGGCCCAAACCCCGAGGGGAGGCAACGGGGGGGAAAUUUGGAAAAUGGGGGAAAGCCUGUCCCAGCCAACCCGGGUGGGUGAAGAAGGCUUCCGGGUUGUAAAGCCCUUUUUUGGGGAAAAAAAAGCAGCAGUUUAAUCCCCCGCUUUUCUGACGGUACCAAAAAAAAAAGCACCGGCUAAUUUCGU
RNAcentral lists this ribosomal RNA (491 nucleotides) under uncultured bacterium. RNAcentral describes it as "partial 16S ribosomal RNA". It matches the Rfam family "Bacterial small subunit ribosomal RNA", at positions 29 to 506 of the family's 1533-position model. The record is from RNAcentral.